Molecule: non-coding RNA, 3427 nt
Organism: Equus caballus (horse)
Lineage: Eukaryota; Metazoa; Chordata; Mammalia; Perissodactyla; Equidae
Source: RefSeq, a predicted model, not a curated record
CGGGAAACGUAGUCGUGACUCCUUCUGGCUCCCCGCGCGGCGCUCUGGGAAGGGGCUUCCGGGCUCCCUCUGCGCAUGUGCAGCCGUAACCCCGCCUCUUCCCUCGUCUUCUGCGGACUCCGCGGGAGCCGUUAGGUGCCCGGAGUCUACUGAGAAAAGGCUGCGCUGCUGUCAGACGUGUCCAUCACCACAUGUGACAUUAAUGACAUCAUCCUGACCUCGCAGGAUCCCAGAAUAAUGAUGCUUGAAGGAUUUUCCAAAGUCAUCUACUUCCAACUCUCUUGAAAACUUUAAAGACAUUGGGCCUGAAAGUUUCAGUGACUUGUCCAGGGAAACCCGGUUUAUGACAGAAGGAAAACUGCAGUUCCCUCUCAGAUAAGUCACCAAAAGCAUCUUAUCAAAGGGGCCUUCUGAGAAAUACAUCCCAGCUGAAACGAACAAAAGUUCCUGCCUUCAAGCAUCCCAUCUCUUUUCUGUGAAUUGUCUGUACCAAGAGCUGAGCCACAGUUCUCUACACUCACCCAGGAGCCACAGAAAGUGAACAUCCCUCAGGUAUCAGUGUCAUUCAAGGACGUGAGUGUGGAGUUCCCCAGGAGGAGUGGCAGCAGAUGGACUCUGCACAGAGGACCCUGUACAGAGACGUGAUGAUGCUGGAGAACUACAACCGCCUCGUCUCUGUGGAACUGAGAUGUCAGCUCAACACUGAGUACAUGUGGCAUAAAAUCAGAGUUGGAAAAGGAGGACCAUCACCAAAUGCAAUGUAUGUUCCUCUGGAAAACCCAAAGCAGCCUAGAGUGAAGUAUGGGGAACAAAACAGAAAAAAAAAAAUAAUGGAGAAAAGGUCAAGCUUGCAACUUCUAUUUCCAGGCUUCACAAGGUACACUGGUACUUUCCAACCCUGAGAGACAAGGUGAUGUUUAGGAUGACUCCACUAAUCAUGUGGCCUUGAGUAUCUCAGCAGAUGUCAGUUAAGUCAUUUAAAAGGAUAACUUAACUUAAAUUAUUUCAUCCUAAUUAUGAAAAAGUCGUAAAUUCAAAUAAGCAGGGUAAUUUACUUCUAUUUUGAUUUAAAAAAUUUUUCAGUUGCUUGGUUUCUCAGAUCAGAGUAAAUGGGUAAUGGUACCAGUUAUAUGAAUUUGACUCAAAUUUAAAUACACAUAUGAGCUGGAUUAAAGUUCUUAUUUGAUAUGCACAUUAACAUUUGUACUAGAGUUUCAGUUGGGAAGAGGGUGGUGUAGGAGGACUCUGAACUCACCUUCUCUCAUGGACACAACAAAUUUACAACUACUCUUGGAACAGUUACGCCUGAGAGAGAACUGGAAACUGGAUAAAAAGUACCCCCACAACAAGGGAUCACGCUGUCUCAGUUGGAAGACGCAGAAAUUCCUUUCUGGAGAGGAAAAAGCCACAUUUUAGCUCUGGCACUCCAUGGCUGGAAGCAGUCUUAAGGUAUGGAGUUUUCCCUGGAGGAGCAGGGGAAUCUGAGCUGGAGAGCUUUAGCACACUAAGUGGCUUUUGAACUCAGUGCACCCAAGAUGAGUGUAAUAAUAUCUAACUUUGCUGGCUAUUAACAACAAUGGGGAAUACCCUAGAAAAGCUGUUGAGCAGAAGAGAAAGGAAACCCUCGUCUUAAAGGGCCAAUGCACAAAUUCACCCAUUUCAGAAAGCAACCUAAAAUCACUGGAAAGAAAGGCGCACAGUCUUUUAGUGAAAAAAGACUCACUUGAUAGGCUCUGGGUGCCUGAGAAGCAGGAGGCAGCUGGAACCACCUCCCCAAGGACUCAGACAUUGGCAGCAGAAAUUAUUGUGACCUAGGACAAGGAUGCUGGCACAUGCUGGCAGAUGCCAUUGGAGUUCUUCCCCAGGCCUGUUAGUGCAGGCUUUGGCCUCACCCACUAUAGCACCAAUUUCACUCUGCUUACAAUUCUCUGGAUCCUUUCAAUGUAAGAACAUGUGUUUAUUCAAUCCUAGAAGUUUUUUUCUGUUCCUUUGAUAACCUUUGAUUAUUGCUUAGUCUGGAAAUCUAAUCAGAUGAAUGUUGGACCAGCUUCCAUGUCUGCCCGUGAUGGAGUAAUAAGGACUGAAUUUAUCUUCUUGCCUUAAACCAGAAAACUGGGCAAGAUAUGAAAUGAUGGUUUCUACACAUUGGGUAAUAGAAUUUAGAACUAUUAUCCCUGAGAAAGAUGAAACAAAUGGGGUGAGACUUGUGAUUGGCCCAGUUUACCACCAGCAGGCAGUUUCCAGGCCAUAGUGUAGGGAGGAUGUAGUCAAGAUUGCCAAUGUAGUCAUUUGACAAUCUUGCUGAGUUGAGGAGAUAGAAGUCAGAGUUUGGGGAGGUACCGUUGCCCACCUGUCAGAUUAUAAAUUUUAAAAAUUAUGACCACACUUUAUGUUGAUAGGACUGUGGGGAAGCAGGCACCCUCACACAUGCUGCUGGGAAUGUAAACUGGUAAAACCCUUUUGGAAAGAAACUUGGGCAUAUUUUAGAAAACCACCUAUACACUUACCUUUUGAACCUCCAGCUUACCCAGGGCAGGGACCCUCCCUCUGGGCUAUCUCCACCCAAUAGGAAGCCAUCAGGCAACUUCUGGGUCCAUGUAGGUGGGAUGUAUGGGAUCUCUGCAGCUGGGAGUGAGUGUUUCUGCCUGUGUGGCAGGGCGUGUGCAAAGGGCAGGUCAUGCACAAGGGAUGAGCCUGCACUGGUUGAGUGUGUGGCACCUCUGCAGUAGGGCCAGUGGAUCCACUUCAGUGAGGCAGGGCAUACGCAUGGGACAAGACAGCACUUAGAGGGUGUGUUGGCCUGCAGGUGUUGAUGCUUGUCAGUUGCAGCAGACUUGUGCUUCUCAAACAGCCACAUAAGGGAUUGGCCCCACCUUCCAAAGCCUGAAACAAUUGGGUGCAGCCAUACCUGGGGCCGACCCCACCCAACUGCAAUCCUGAGAGAGCUGACAACAGCCUUGCAGCCUGGAGGCCUGCAGCAAUUAUAAGUCUCUGAGCCUAGCAAUCAGCCAUGCUAGGGGCCUACUCCCUUAACCGAAAAAGUGCAGCAGGAAUGUGCUAUUAGAUCUUCCAGCCAAUUGUUCUGGGACUCCCCAUGCCCAGUAAAGUGCCUGAAGGCUCCAUAGCAGCUGCACGUGGCUGAGCAUUACAACCAGCCAGCCAUGGGGACAGCAUAGCUUCUGCAUGGAUCUGCAGGAAGAGCAACCCUGACACAACAGAAGGGCACAUGUAGCCCACACAGGGGACAGUCCUCGAACACUUGGUACUGGUGAGGAGGGGAAAACACAUUUCUGGGCUUCAUAAGGCAUCCUUUACAUAAGGACACCAAUCCAAGAUUGGGAGACAUAGCUGAUCUACCUAAUAAGUAGAUGUAAGCACAGAGAAAGAGGCAAAAUGAGGAGACAAAGGAAAAUGUUCCAAAUAAGGG